This 700-nucleotide ribosomal RNA is filed under the name uncultured bacterium. Its description in RNAcentral is "bacterial SSU rRNA". It matches the Rfam family "Bacterial small subunit ribosomal RNA", at positions 796 to 1504 of the family's 1533-position model. The record is from RNAcentral.
CACACAAGUAAACGAUGAAAUACUCGCUGUAUGCGAAUAUACUGCAAGGCGACCAAGCGAAAGCGUUUAGUAUUCCACCUGGGGAGUACGCCGGGCAACGGUGAAACUCAAAGGAAUUGACGGGGGCCGCACAAGCGGAGGAACAUGUGGUUUAAUUCGAUGAUACGCGAGGAACCUUACCCGGGCUUGAAUUGCAACCGAAUUAUCCGGAGACGGGUAAGCCGCAAGGCGGUUUGUGAAGGUGCUGCAUGGUUGUCGUCAGCUCGUGCCGUGAGGUGUCGGCUUAAGUGCCAUAACGAGCGCAACCCUUAUCCACAGUUACCAUCAGGUGAUGCUGGGGACUCUGUGGAGACUGCCGUCGUAAGAUGCGAGGAAGGGGGGGAUGACGUCAAAUCAGCACGGCCCUUACGUCCGGGGCUACACACGUGUUACAAUGGGGGGUACAGCAGGCAGCUCGGCGGCGACGCCCGGCCAAUCCCUAAAUCCCCUCUCAGUUCGGACUGGAGUCUGCAACCCGACUCCACGAAGCUGGAUUCGCCAGUAAUCGCGCAUCAGCCACGGCGCGGUGAAUACGUUCCCGGGCCUUGUACACACCGCCCGUCAAGCCAUGAAAGCCGGGGGUACCUGAAGUGCGUAACCGUUUAGGAGCGCCCUAGGGUAAAACCGGUGAUUGGGGCUAAGUCGUAACAAGGUAACCGUA